UAAUUAAGUUUUUUAUUUUUAUUUUUAUUAUGUAAUUUUAAUUGAAAUAACUUUAUAUUUAGUAUAUUUUAUAGAAAUAUUUAUUUUUAAUUAUAGUUUAUUUUACUGUGAAGGAUCAUAAAUUUAAUUUGAAAAAGUAUAAUUUUUAUUAGUACCUUUUGUAUCAGGGUUUAUUUAUUAAUUAAUAUUUAUUUUAUUAAUUCCCGAAAUUAUAAGAGUUAUCUUAAGAUGUUUUUUACUGUAUCAAAAUUAUUUAUAAUUUUAAGAUAGGGGUUAUAUGCUAUUCAAUUAUAAUAUAUCUGGUUACUUAAGAAAUGAAUUUAAUUCAAAAUUAUUAUGUUAAUUUUUAUUUUUAUUUAUUUUAAUAUGAUAAUUAAAAAUUAUGGGGGAUUAGCUCUGUAAUUUAAUUUAUAAAGGAUUAUAUUAAUUAAUUUUUGUAGGCUUGAUAACAGCCAUCUAAAAUUUCGUUAUAGUUUAUAUUAAUUAUUGAAUUUAUUUUAGGUCUUUUAUUUUUAUUAUUAAGUGUUAUUAUUUAAUUUUUUAAUAAUAAUUAUAAUGAUAGAAUUAGUAGUUUUUAUUGUUUAAGUAUAGUAAUUCGGCAAAUUUUAUCUUCGCCUGUUUAACAAAAACAUGUCUUAUAGAUAUUAAUUUUAAGUCUAGCCUGCUCAAUGAUUAUUAAAUUAAAUAGCCGCAGUAUACUGACUGUGCAAAGGUAGCAUAAUCAUUUGUCUUUUAAUUGGAGGCUUGUAUGAAUGGUUGGACGAGGGAUAAUCUUUCUUUAUUUAAUUUUUAUGAAUUUAAUAUUUUAGUCAAAAAGCUAAAAUAUUUUUGUGGGACGAGAAGACCCUAUAGAAUUUUAUUAUUAUAUUAAUAAUUUUGAAUUAAUUUCUUUAUUUAAUUUAUUAAUAUAAUAAUUUGGUUGGGGUGAUUGUGAAAUUUAAUUAACUUUUAUUUUUAAUUUAUUCAUUAAUUAUUGUUUACUACUGAUCCUUUUUUAGGGAAUAAAAGAUUAAAUUACCUUAGGGAUAACAGCGUAAUUCUUUUGGAGAGUUCUUAUCGAUGAAGGAGUUUGCGACCUCGAUGUUGGAUUAAAGUUAAUUUUUGGUGUAGAAGCUAAAUAUAUUAGGUCUGUUCGACCUUUAAAUCUUUACAUGAUCUGAGUUCAGACCGGCGUGAGCCAGGUUGGUUUCUAUCUACAAUUAAUUUUGAUAUUUUAGUACGAAAGGACCAAAUAUCAAUAAUAUUUAUUUAUAUUUGAUUUAUAUUAA
RNAcentral lists this ribosomal RNA (1268 nucleotides) under Nysius plebeius. RNAcentral describes it as "16S ribosomal RNA". The stretch from base 1025 to 1184 matches the Rfam family "Archaeal large subunit ribosomal RNA", at positions 2542 to 2701 of the family's 2987-position model. Lineage: Eukaryota; Metazoa; Arthropoda; Insecta; Hemiptera; Lygaeidae. The record is from RNAcentral.